CAGGAUUCCCCUAGUACUGCGAGUGAAGCGGGAAAAGCUCAAAUUUAAAAUCUGGCAGUCUCUGGCUGUCCGAGUUGUAAUCUAGAGAAGUAAUGCCCGUGCUGGACCGUGUAUAAGUCUCCUGGGAUGGGGCGUCAUAGAGGGUGAGAAUCCCGUCUUUGACACGGACUACCAGUGCAUUGUGGUAUGCUCUCAAAGAGUCGAGUUGUUUGGGAAUGCAGCUCAAAAUGGGUGGUAAAUUCCAUCUAAAGCUAAAUAUUGGCGAGAGACCGAUAGCGAACAAGUACCGUGAGGGAAAGAUGAAAAGAACUUUGGAAAGAGAGUUAAACAGUACGUGAAAUUGCUGAAAGGGAAACGCUUGAAGUCAGUCNCGUUGGCCNGGAAUCAGCCUUGCUUUUGCAUGGUGUACUUUCUGGUUGAUGGGUCAGCAUCAAUUUUGACCGCUGGAAAAAGACCUGGGGAAUGUGGCAGCUUCGGCUGUGUUAUAGCCCCUAGUCACAUACAGUGGUUGGGAUUGAGGAACUCAGCACGCCGCAAGGCCGGGUUUCGACCACGUUCGUGCUUAGGAUGCUGGCAUAAUGGCUUUAAGCGACCCGUCUUGAAACACGGACCAAGGAGUCUAACAUGCCUGCGAGUAUUUGGGUGGAAAACCCAAGUGCNNAAUGAAAGUGAAAGUUGAGAUCCCUGUCNUGGGGAGCAUCGACGCCCGGACCAGAACUUUUGGGACGGAUCCGCGGUGGAGCAUGUAUGUUGGGACCCGAAAGAUGGUGAACUAUGCCUGAAUAGGGUGAAGCCAGAGGAAACUCUGGUGGAGGCUCGUAGCGAUUCUGACGUGCAAAUCGAUCGUCAAAUUUGGGUAUAGGGGCGAA
This 869-nucleotide ribosomal RNA is filed under the name Agaricus baiyunensis. RNAcentral's name for it is "partial large subunit ribosomal RNA". It matches the Rfam family "Eukaryotic large subunit ribosomal RNA", at positions 70 to 927 of the family's 3401-position model. The record is from RNAcentral. Lineage: Eukaryota; Fungi; Basidiomycota; Agaricomycetes; Agaricales; Agaricaceae.